RNAcentral lists this ribosomal RNA (434 nucleotides) under uncultured bacterium. RNAcentral's name for it is "bacterial SSU rRNA". It matches the Rfam family "Bacterial small subunit ribosomal RNA", at positions 27 to 507 of the family's 1533-position model. The record is from RNAcentral.
GAACGAACGCUGGCGGCAGGCCUAACACAUGCAAGUCGAACGCCCUAGCAAUAGGGAGUGGCAGACGGGUGAGUAACACGUGGGAACCUUCCCUAUAGUAUGGAAUAGCCCAGGGAAACUUGGAGUAAUACCGUAUACGCCCGAGAGGGGAAAGAUUUAUCGCUAUAGGAUGGGCCCGCGUAGGAUUAGCUAGUUGGUGAGGUAAUGGCUCACCAAGGCGACGAUCCUUAGCCGGUCUGAGAGGACGACCAGCCACACUGGGACUGAGACACGGCCCAGACUCCUACGGGAGGCAGCAGUGGGGAAUAUUGGACAAUGGGCGCAAGCCUGAUCCAGCCAUGCCGCGUGAGUGAUGAAGGCCUUAGGGUUGUAAAGCUCUUUUGCCGGGGACGAUAAUGACGGUACCCGGAGAAUAAGUCCCGGCUAACUUCGUG